RNAcentral lists this ribosomal RNA (451 nucleotides) under uncultured bacterium. Its description in RNAcentral is "bacterial SSU rRNA". It matches the Rfam family "Bacterial small subunit ribosomal RNA", at positions 28 to 445 of the family's 1533-position model. The record is from RNAcentral.
GACGAACGCUGGCGGCGUGCCUAAUACAUGCAAGUCGAACGCACUCUCGUUUAGAUUGAAGGAGCUUGCUCCUGAUUGAUAAACAUUUGAGUGAGUGGCGGACGGGUGAGUAACACGUGGGUAACCUGCCCUAAAGUGGGGGAUAACAUUUGGAAACAGAUGCUAAUACCGCAUAAAACCUAACACCGCAUGGUGUAGGGUUGAAAGAUGGUUUCGGCUAUCACUUUAGGAUGGACCCGCGGUGCAUUAGUUAGUUGGUGAGGUAAAGGCUCACCAAGACCGUGAUGCAUAGCCGACCUGAGAGGGUAAUCGGCCACACUGGGACUGAGACACGGCCCAGACUCCUACGGAGGCAGCAGUAGGGAAUCUUUACCACAAUGGACGAAAGUCUGAUGGAGCAACGCGCGUGAGUGAAGAAGGUUUUCGGAUCGUAAAACUCUGUUAGUUGGAG